This 144-nucleotide ribosomal RNA is filed under the name Rhodospirillaceae bacterium. RNAcentral describes it as "partial 16S ribosomal RNA". It matches the Rfam family "Bacterial small subunit ribosomal RNA", at positions 1 to 141 of the family's 1533-position model. Lineage: Bacteria; Pseudomonadati; Pseudomonadota; Alphaproteobacteria; Rhodospirillales; Rhodospirillaceae. The record is from RNAcentral.
AAACUUGAGAGUUUGAUCCUGGCUCAGAACGAACGCUGGCGGCGUGCCUAACACAUGCAAGUCGAACGGUAACAUAAGAGCUUGCUCUUGAUGACGAGUGGCGGACGGGUGAGUAACACGUAUACAAUCUACCUUUAACUGAGG